This 492-nucleotide ribosomal RNA is filed under the name uncultured Bacillaceae bacterium. RNAcentral describes it as "bacterial SSU rRNA". It matches the Rfam family "Bacterial small subunit ribosomal RNA", at positions 402 to 885 of the family's 1533-position model. Lineage: Bacteria; Bacillati; Bacillota; Bacilli; Caryophanales; Bacillaceae. The record is from RNAcentral.
UGAGUGAUGAAGGUUUUCGGAUCGUAAAACUCUGUUGUUAGGGAAGAACAAGUACCAGAGUAACUGCUGGUACCUUGACGGUACCUAACCAGAAAGCCACGGCUAACUACGUGCCAGCAGCCGCGGUAAUACGUAGGUGGCAAGCGUUGUCCGGAAUUAUUGGGCGUAAAGCGCGCGCAGGCGGUCCUUUAAGUCUGAUGUGAAAGCCCACGGCUCAACCGUGGAGGGUCAUUGGAAACUGGGGGACUUGAGUACAGAAGAGAAGAGUGGAAUUCCACGUGUAGCGGUGAAAUGCGUAGAGAUGUGGAGGAACACCAGUGGCGAAGGCGACUCUUUGGUCUGUAACUGACGCUGAGGCGCGAAAGCGUGGGGAGCAAACAGGAUUAGAUACCCUGGUAGUCCACGCUGUAAACGAUGAGUGCUAAGUGUUGGAGGGUUUCCGCCCUUUAGUGCUGCAGCUAACGCAUUAAGCACUCCGCCUGGGGAGUACGG